GGCCGCAGUAUUUUGACUGUGCAAAGGUAGCAUAAUCAUUAGUCUUUUAAUUGGAGGCUGGAAUGAAUGGUUGGACAAGGUAAAUAUUGUAUUAAUUUAAUAUUAUAGAAUUUAGAUUUUGAGUAAAAAGACUUAAAUAUUAUUGAGGGACGAGAAGACCCUAUAGAGUUUAAUAGUAUUUUAUUUGUAUAUGGUUUAAGAUUAUUAUGUUGUGUAAAUGAAGUACUAUUUGGUUGGGGUGAUUAGAAAAUAGAUGAAACUUUUUUUUAUAUUGAAUGUAAAUAAAUAGAUUAUUGAUCCAUAAUUUGUGAUUAUAAGAUUAAAUUACCUUAGGGAUAACAGCAUAA
Molecule: ribosomal RNA, 347 nt
Filed under: Mantoida schraderi
Lineage: Eukaryota; Metazoa; Arthropoda; Insecta; Mantodea; Mantoididae
Description: partial 16S ribosomal RNA
Source: RNAcentral